This 805-nucleotide ribosomal RNA is filed under the name Salmonella enterica subsp. enterica serovar Enteritidis. Its description in RNAcentral is "partial 23S ribosomal RNA". It matches the Rfam family "Bacterial large subunit ribosomal RNA", at positions 1270 to 2058 of the family's 2925-position model. The record is from RNAcentral. Lineage: Bacteria; Pseudomonadati; Pseudomonadota; Gammaproteobacteria; Enterobacterales; Enterobacteriaceae.
UUGCUGGAGGUAUCAGAAGUGCGAAUGCUGACAUAAGUAACGAUAAAGCGGGUGAAAAGCCCGCUCGCCGGAAGACCAAGGGUUCCUGUCCAACGUUAAUCGGGGCAGGGUGAGUCGACCCCUAAGGCGAGGCCGAAAGGCGUAGUCGAUGGGAAACGGGUUAAUAUUCCCGUACUUGGUGUUACUGCGAAGGGGGGACGGAGAAGGCUAUGUUGGCCGGGCGACGGUUGUCCCGGUUUAAGCGUGUAGGUGUGUGUUCCAGGUAAAUCCGGUUCACUUUAACACUGAGGCGUGACGACGAGGCACUACGGUGCUGAAGCAACAAAUGCCCUGCUUCCAGGAAAAGCCUCUAAGCAUCAGGUAACAUCAAAUCGUACCCCAAACCGACACAGGUGGUCAGGUAGAGAAUACCAAGGCGCUUGAGAGAACUCGGGUGAAGGAACUAGGCAAAAUGGUGCCGUAACUUCGGGAGAAGGCACGCUGACACGUAGGUGAAGUGAUUUACUCAUGGAGCUGAAGUCAGUCGAAGAUACCAGCUGGCUGCAACUGUUUAUUAAAAACACAGCACUGUGCAAACACGAAAGUGGACGUAUACGGUGUGACGCCUGCCCGGUGCCGGAAGGUUAAUUGAUGGGGUCAGCGCAAGCGAAGCUCCUGAUCGAAGCCCCGGUAAACGGCGGCCGUAACUAUAACGGUCCUAAGGUAGCGAAAUUCCUUGUCGGGUAAGUUCCGACCUGCACGAAUGGCGUAAUGAUGGCCAGGCUGUCUCCACCCGAGACUCAGUGAAAUUGAACUCGCUGUGAAG